RNAcentral lists this ribosomal RNA (254 nucleotides) under uncultured bacterium. Its description in RNAcentral is "partial 16S ribosomal RNA". It matches the Rfam family "Bacterial small subunit ribosomal RNA", at positions 524 to 776 of the family's 1533-position model. The record is from RNAcentral.
UACGUAGGGGGCGAGCGUUGUCCGGAAUUAUUGGGCGUAAAGAGCUCGUAGGCGGCUUGGCAAGUCGGAUGUGAAAACUCCAGGCUCAACCUGGAGCCGCCAUUCGAUACUGCUAUGGCUAGAGUCCGGUAGGGGAGUGUGGAAUUCCUGGUGUAGCGGUGAAAUGCGCAGAUAUCAGGAAGAACACCCGUGGCGAAGGCGGCUCUCUGGGACGGUACUGACGCUGAGACGCGAAAGCGUGGGGAGCGAACAGG